AUUGAACGCUGGCGGCAGGCCUAACACAUGCAAGUCGAGCGGAUGAAGGGAGCUUGCUCCUGGAUUUAGCGGCGGACGGGUGAGUAAUGCCUAGGAAUCUGCCUGGUAGUGGGGGAUAACGUCCGGAAACGGGCGCUAAUACCGCAUACGUCCUGCGGGAGAAAGUGGGGGAUCUUCGGACCUCACGCUAUCAGAUGAGCCUAGGUCGGAUUAGCUAGUUGGUGGGGUAAAGGCCUACCAAGGCGACGAUCCGUAACUGGUCUGAGAGGAUGAUCAGUCACACUGGAACUGAGACACGGUCCAGACUCCUACGGGAGGCAGCAGUGGGGAAUAUUGGACAAUGGGCGAAAGCCUGAUCCAGCCAGGCCGCGUGUGUGAAGAAGGUCUUCGGAGUGUAAAGCACUUUAAGUGGGGAGGAAGGGCAGUAAGUUAAUACCUUGCUGUUUUGACGGUACCAACAGAAUAAGCACCGGCUAACUUCGUG
RNAcentral lists this ribosomal RNA (484 nucleotides) under uncultured bacterium. Its description in RNAcentral is "partial 16S ribosomal RNA". It matches the Rfam family "Bacterial small subunit ribosomal RNA", at positions 30 to 507 of the family's 1533-position model. The record is from RNAcentral.